AAGCGGAGGAGCAUGUGGUUAAUUCGAUGAUACGCGAGGAACCUUACCUGGGCUCGAACGUAAGAUGACUGUAGGUGAAAGCUUACAUCUCUUCGGAGCAUUUUACGAGGUGCUGCAUGGUUGUCGUCAGCUCGUGCCGUGAGGUGUCGGGUUAAGUCCCAUAACGAGCGCAACCCCUACCUUUAGUUGCCAUCAGGUUAAGCUGGGGACUCUAAAGGAACUGCCUACGCAAGUAGUGAGGAAGGCGGGGAUGACGUCAAAUCAGCACGGCCCUUACGUCCAGGGCUACACACGUGCUACAAUGGCCGAUACAGAGGGCAGCUACCUGGUGACAGGAUGCAAAUCUCCAAAGCCGGUCUCAGUUCGGAUCGGAGUCUGCAACCCGACUCCGUGAAGUUGGAUUCGCUAGUAAUCGCGCAUCAGCCAUGGCGCGGUGAAUACGUUCCCGGGCCUU
This 454-nucleotide ribosomal RNA is filed under the name uncultured Sphingobacteriales bacterium. RNAcentral's name for it is "bacterial SSU rRNA". It matches the Rfam family "Bacterial small subunit ribosomal RNA", at positions 927 to 1382 of the family's 1533-position model. The record is from RNAcentral. Lineage: Bacteria; Pseudomonadati; Bacteroidota; Sphingobacteriia; Sphingobacteriales.